GAUGAAGAACGUAGCGAAAUGCGAUAAGUAAUGUGAAUUGCAGAAUUCAGUGAAUCAUCGAAUCUUUGAACGCACAUUGCGCCCGCCAGUAUUCUGGCGGGCAUGCCUGUCCGAGCGUCAUUUCAACCCUCGAACCCCUCCGGGGGGUCGGCGUUGGGGAUCGGCCCUUUACGGGGCCGGCCCCGAAAUACAGUGGCGGUCUCGCCGCAGCCUCUCCUGCGCAGUAGUUUGCACACUCGCAUCGGGAGCGCGGCGCGUCCACAGCCGUUAAACACCCCAAACUUCUGAAAUGUUGACCUCGGAUCAGGUAGGAAUACCCGCUGAACUUAAGCAUAUCAAUAAGCGAGGA
Molecule: unclassified non-coding RNA, 349 nt
Filed under: soil metagenome
Description: partial contains 5.8S ribosomal RNA, internal transcribed spacer 2, and large subunit ribosomal RNA
Rfam family: 5.8S ribosomal RNA (bases 1-120)
Source: RNAcentral